Molecule: transfer RNA, 73 nt
Filed under: Caudoviricetes sp.
Lineage: Duplodnaviria; Heunggongvirae; Uroviricota; Caudoviricetes
Description: tRNA-Asn
Rfam family: tRNA
About the family: Transfer RNA (tRNA) molecules are approximately 80 nucleotides in length. Their secondary structure includes four short double-helical elements and three loops (D, anti-codon, and T loops). Further hydrogen bonds mediate the characteristic L-shaped molecular structure. tRNAs have two regions of fundamental functional importance: the anti-codon, which is responsible for specific mRNA codon recognition, and the 3' end, to which the tRNAs corresponding amino acid is attached (by aminoacyl-tRNA synthetases). tRNAs cope with the degeneracy of the genetic code in two manners: having more than one tRNA (with a specific anti-codon) for a particular amino acid; and 'wobble' base-pairing, i.e. permitting non-standard base-pairing at the 3rd anti-codon position.
Source: RNAcentral
UGCUUAGUAGCAUAAUUGGUAAUGCGUAGGACUGUUAAUCCGAAAGAUACAGGUUCGAGUCCUGUUUAGGCAG